RNAcentral lists this long non-coding RNA (878 nucleotides) under Nicotiana tabacum (common tobacco). RNAcentral describes it as "long non-coding RNA (NTAB_LNC007380)". The record is from RNAcentral. Lineage: Eukaryota; Viridiplantae; Streptophyta; Magnoliopsida; Solanales; Solanaceae.
UCUCCUAAACCUAAAAGAUAUUAACUACAAAAUAAACGCAUUCAAUAAUCCAACAUAGGGGCGAAUAUUUAGGCUAGGCAGAAUUUUUAACUACAAAAAAGGUCUCCAAAACCUUAAAGCUAUAAACUACUCCAACAUACGUAGGGAGUAGAACGAAUAGGAAAAACAUUAGGCAAAAUUUUAUUACCUUUCCUAGACGGUUAAUAAUAGGAGAAUAAUUAAAUAGCUAUUCCAAAAUUAUAGGAGAAUUAAUUAAAGGAUUAUUUCAAAAUAUUAAUGAAAUACUUAAAUUACUAUUUUGUCUAAUGUGAACUCUAUAUUUUAAAGGGUAAAAAAGGCGAACGAUAUUUCUCUAAGGACCUUCGUGCUUUUAAUAUAGUAUAGACAUAGACUAGUAUAGUAUUAGGAUACGCGCGUUGCGCGUGUACCCCAUUUCAAAGAGUAAUAUUUUACUAAAAAUUAAUUUGACUUAUUGUGACGACCGGCCAGUCGUGUCAUGAGNNNNNNNNNNNNNNNNNNNNNNNNNUCUGCUUCUUUAUGCUUCGUUAUCCGUGUUUUAUGGUAUCAGGUUGGUCGGAUUGAGUCCGGAAUGAUUUUGGUAAGGUUUGAGACACUUAGUCUCUUUUAAGGAAGUUUGAGUUGGAAAAGUCUAAACCUAAAAGAUAUUAACUACAAAAUAAACGCAUUCAAUAAUCCAACAUAGGGGCGAAUAUUUAGGCUAGGCAGAAUUUUUAACUACAAAAAAGGUCUCCAAAACCUUAAAGCUAUAAACUACUCCAACAUACGUAGGGAGUAGAACGAAUAGGAAAAUAUUUAGGCAAAAUUUUAUUACCUUUCCUAGACGGUUAAUAAUAGGAGAAUAAUUAAAUAGCUAUUCC